UCUAGAGAAUUGGUAUAGAAUUGAGUUGAUAUUGGUUGCUUUGAAAGAAAGAUCUUCUCUUCACAACAGCUUGAUCUGUGACAGGGAUUAGAUACCCCAUUAAUUCAAGUGAUAAAUUCUGGCUUCUUAGAAAUUGGAUCUCUUUUUAGCAUAGAAAGGUUAUUAACCUAAGGAGUACGCUUUCAAAAAUGAAACUUAAAUGUUCUGAUGGUGGUUUAAAUCAAUAGUGGAAUAGAUUCUUUAAUUCGAUGUUCUGCGAUAAAGCUUAUCAGCAAAGUCAAUGAAUCUCAGGAGAUAGGUCUCAUCCCAUUCAUAGUAGUGCAUGGCUGUUUCUAGAGAAUGUUUUGUAAUUCUGGUUCAAUUCAAGAAUACCCGAUACACUUUAACCUAGAUAGAAGAACAUCAAGUCAUUAUGCUCUUUUGUUCAGAGAUAUACAUCUGUUACAAAGAGAGCUACGAACAGCACUUAAGAAUGGAAUAUUAGCUUUAGCUGGUAAUGGUCUUGUCGAAGAGGAAUUAAUGGAUAUGGAAUAUCAACUUGCUUAUAUCUAUAGGCAUCUAUAUAUUGAAGAACAUUGAGUACCAGAUCAUUUAGCAUACGGCAUUGACAAUUGAAAGGUUUUUAUAAAGGAGGAAUUCUUAGUAAGCUUUGAUUAGCAAUUUAAAGUUGAAUAGGAGACUAAAAUUAUAUACAUACCGCCCGUCAAGCAAAAAGAAGAGAUAGAGUGUUGUAGCAAAUGAAUAACGAUAGUGAUUGGUUGGGACCAGUGUUAUGUAGAUAUCGAAGAGUAAGGUACGUAAGAGAAUACUUUAGCUUGUGUUGUAAUGAAUCUAUAGGCAUCUAUAUGUAUGGUAAUGUUUAUCGUAGAGUAAUGGCUCCAUUUAUACCUGCAACCCUAGUAAGGUACUUACUUAUAUAGCACAAAGCUUUAGCUUGGUUGUAGUGUAACGUAUCUUUAAUGGAUGGAUAUCCAUAUUGAAGUCUUAGCAUUAGGUCUAUGUUUAUGGUACAGUGCUAAUGAAACUUCAUGUUAAGUUGCAUCUCUUUAGUGGUAUCAGAGACUAAUAGCUUGGUAAUGAAAUGAAAGAACCUUUCGAAUGUAGUGUAAUGAUUAGCUUGUAUGUGGUGUAAGCAUGCUAAUUAAUGUUAAGUCGAAACAUGGUUGCUACUCAAGAAUGAAUAGGUACAUAAUUCAACAUCUCUGUAUAAGAGACACUAUGUUAGAAAGCAAUUUACCUUGAUCUUAAACAUUUCCUUAAAACACACUUCUGGCCAGAAGAUAAACUUAACAAAAGAACACAAUAACAUUAGCAUUAGACCAGUACAUAUGAACCCAUACAUAUAGAUGCCUAUAGAUCAAGGUAAAACAAGAGGAAUUGUUGUAGCAUUAUUCAGACAUUGUCGCUGGUAUGUUAUUGAAGCUAGUAGUGUAUAACAGGUUGAGCUUGAUCGCAAUAGUAAAUCCAUCGUUAAUGUUAAGUCGUAACAUGGUUGCUACUCAUGAAUGAGUGGUGCUAGCAUAGAAAAAGUUGGGCAUUUUAAAUAUGAAUCGACAUGCAUGAUUGCCCAUAUGCCCCACUUCAGCUGCCAGAUGACGAAACAGCAUGUAUGUAUGAACGAUAAAGCUAAAGCUU
RNAcentral lists this ribosomal RNA (1635 nucleotides) under Tripos horridus. Its description in RNAcentral is "16S ribosomal RNA". The stretch from base 1 to 774 matches the Rfam family "Bacterial small subunit ribosomal RNA", at positions 687 to 1533 of the family's 1533-position model. Lineage: Eukaryota; Dinophyceae; Gonyaulacales; Ceratiaceae. The record is from RNAcentral.